UCCAUCACGUAAGAGUUUAGAUAACACGAGGAGCCUAAGUCCCUCAAGUGAAACUGUAUGUAACCCGACUAAUGAGACUAUAUGUCAUUCAGGAGAGGCAUUUUUACCUAUCAGGUGGGACUCCCCAUCGAACCCUCAUGUAAGACUUGUGAUCUACUAUCUAAUGCUGGAUAUCUGUCGGACCUCUCGGGCAUGAUAGUUAAGACGUGUCCCGCCCGAGGAGACAUUAAGUCCCUUAGUCGAGAGUUUAG
This 251-nucleotide long non-coding RNA is filed under the name Lathyrus oleraceus (garden pea). RNAcentral describes it as "Pisum sativum (pea) long non-coding RNA (PSAT_LNC032760)". The record is from RNAcentral. Lineage: Eukaryota; Viridiplantae; Streptophyta; Magnoliopsida; Fabales; Fabaceae.